This 224-nucleotide long non-coding RNA is filed under the name Mytilus galloprovincialis (Mediterranean mussel). Lineage: Eukaryota; Metazoa; Mollusca; Bivalvia; Mytilida; Mytilidae. The record is from RNAcentral.
GUUUAGGGUAUAUUCCUGUUUUCUUUAGAGUAUAUUCCUGUGUUCAAAAGUACAUACCUUCUCUCAGAUUUGAUAGAUUCCAUGUCCAGUGGCCAAAAUCAACUGAAUCUACAUAAUCAACUGUGGUCAGUUCAUCUUCAUAGAGUACGUCCUUUACAGCCAACUCAUCUUUAAUUUAUUGCCUCUUAACUUUCAGGUAAAAUCACUGUACAAAUAUAAAUAAG